Molecule: ribosomal RNA, 253 nt
Filed under: uncultured bacterium
Lineage: Bacteria
Description: partial 16S ribosomal RNA
Rfam family: Bacterial small subunit ribosomal RNA
Source: RNAcentral
UACGGGGGGGGCAAGCGUUGUUCGGAAUUACUGGGCGUAAAGGGCUCGUAGGUGGCCAACUAAGUCAACCGUGAAAUCCCUCGGCUUAACCGGGGAACUGCGUCUGAUACUGGAUGGCUUGAGUUUGGGAGAGGGAUGCGGAAUUCCAGGUGUAGCGGUGAAAUGCGUAGAUAUCUGGAGGAACACCGGUGGCGAAGGCGGCAUCCUGGACCAACACUGACACUGAGGAGCGAAAGCCAGGGGAGCAAACGGG